AUAUAUCCGAUGAAUUUACUUAAGUCAUGUGCAUACAUAUAUCCGAUGCUUCAAGCAUUAGUCAAUUCCUCUUCAAACAUUUUUUUCUAUCAUUUUUUCGCCAUCUUCUAUGAUGCACUUGUUUGCCUCCCAACAUCUACUCUUCUUUUAUCUUCUAUGCUCAUUUACAUAUAAUAAAACUUUGAAUUCAUUCUUAACUCAAAACUAUUUUCUCAUUUUCUUCUUCUUAGUCUAUUUUCUCUUAUUAAUUAUAU
This 254-nucleotide long non-coding RNA is filed under the name Arabidopsis lyrata. Its description in RNAcentral is "long non-coding RNA (ALYR_LNC001004)". Lineage: Eukaryota; Viridiplantae; Streptophyta; Magnoliopsida; Brassicales; Brassicaceae. The record is from RNAcentral.